RNAcentral lists this transfer RNA (145 nucleotides) under Cercospora zeae-maydis SCOH1-5. Its description in RNAcentral is "tRNA-Ser". The record is from RNAcentral. Lineage: Eukaryota; Fungi; Ascomycota; Dothideomycetes; Mycosphaerellales; Mycosphaerellaceae.
GCGGUGUUGGUCUAGUGGUAUGAGUAAGUGCUAGAGCUCCUUAAUGCAUGAAAUGAACGAAGAACUGAGACACCCAAAUUUCUCGCUUAGGGCGCACCCUGAGUCUAUCUGCGAGAGGUCCCCGGUUCAAUCCCGGGAUACCGCC